RNAcentral lists this transfer RNA (68 nucleotides) under marine eukaryotic metagenome. It matches the Rfam family "tRNA". Rfam says of the family: Transfer RNA (tRNA) molecules are approximately 80 nucleotides in length. The record is from RNAcentral.
GGCUUAGCUCAGUUGGUAGAGCACUUGAUUUGUAAUCAAGGGGUCACAGGUUCGAGUCCUGUAGCCGG